CUGCUUUGGGUUGGGUUAGCUAAAUGAAGUUGUUCUUUAGCCAGCUGAUUCGUUUCCAAUAUUCAGUUUCCUGAGGAUGGAUCAGUUUGUUGUUACUAAAUCGUGACAUGCUGAUGUUAAAUUCAUAAGUUAUCGCAUAAUUAAUAAUCGCAAUUGUAAAGCUGGUGUAAAUAAGUAGAGGGAAGGGGUAGCAUAUAGAGAAGGGGUAGCACAUAGUGAGUGGAAAUAAGUAGAGGGAAGUAGACGUCAUUGUUUUGGUUUGGACCGCACGCUUUCCUGAUGUUAUUGUGCUUAUUUUAUUUUAUGGCUAUUUCAGUUCAUUCAACAAACCUGAUCACGACAAGAAAUACUAUUUAAGAGUAGUGAUCAUAUGACACUGUUAUUUCAGUUACAGAGAGUUGAAGAGGAAGGAACCGAAUUAAUGGAAAAAAGGAAACUGUGUUGAUUACUUGCAAGCGCCAUUUCAGCCAGAUGGUUCGUUUCUAGUCCUAUGCUUUGGGCUGGGUUAGCUAAGUAAAGUUGCUCUUUAGACAUAGAUGCGGUUAGUAUAUAUUCAGUUUCCUGAGGAUCGAUCAGUUUGUUGUUACUAAAACAAACGUUAUUAAAAUAAUCAAAGGGAAGUUGAUGUCAUUGUUUUGAUUUGGACCGCACGCUUUCCUGAUGAGUUUAUUUUAUGUCUGUUUCAGUUCACUCAACAAAUCUGAUCACGACAAGAAAUACUAUUUAAGAGUUGUGAUAUGGCAUCGUUAUUUCAGUUACAGAGAGGUGAAGAGGAAGGAACCGAAAUAAUGGAAGAAAAGAAGCUGUGUGUUCGUUGCUUUGUAAGCCAUUUUAGCCAGAUGCAUGGUUCGUUUCUAUUACACUAUGAUUUGGGUUCGGUUAGCUGAUUAAGUAAUUAAAGUUGUUCUUUAAACAUAUAUGCGUUAGUAUAUAUUCAGUUUCCUGAGGAUCAGCUUGCUGAGAUUAAUUCAUAAGUUAUCGCAGAAUAACCGCAAUUUGGUGUCAUGCUUCAGCGGAUUGAUACGUAACGCACUCUCUCCGUUUCAAAUUAUAAGUUGCUCUAACCGCAAUUUUUUCCUUUUUUUAGAAUACAGUAAUUUUUUCCUUUUUUUUGAGACGCAAUUUUUUUCUGGGAUUCUAUAAUUUCAUAAAUGAAAUUCGGCAUCAUGGGCCGAACUGCAAGGCCGAUUUUUGGCGCGCGUCUUCUGCCCCUCUCUCCUCUUGGGCAUUGACCCAUUCAUUUCCGGCCAAGCUUUCCUCCGCCUGCCGCAGCCCCUUGGGCGGAAGCCCUUCGACAUGCUUCCCUAGCCCAUCUUGCGUCUUGCUUUCCUGCCGAGUCCCGCGGCCCAGCCAAACGCCACGGUAUGAAUUUCUGACACCUUCCAUUCCCACGCGAGAAAAUAUCUACCAACUUGAGCCAUGUCGCUGCAUAUGUCAAAUCUAUCUACAUAUUGGAAGCCAUUUUAUAGGGGUUGCAUGCAACCACGGUUAAAUAUAUAGAGUUGAGAUCUUAACCAUUGUGUGGUGGAGUGAACUCUCAAACUACCAUAUGGCUUGUACUAUUUCCGUUCCUCUGAUCUGAUAUCUCAUCUACCUGCGUGCAUGCUCAUUCAAUGAUAGCAACUCCACAUUAGGCUUGUUUGUGUAAGGUGAACAACAUGCUUGCCCUUGUUACACUCGAAUAAAAGGAAAUCAAGAUUAAAACCAACAAACAGCACAUGAUUCAGCUAAUGAAAUGUCCUCUUCUCUCUGUUACCGACAUUUACCCUUAUGCUCACUUGUCACUUCGUUCAUAAGUACAAGAAGUUCUAUCUUUGUUCUUUGACCAUAAUAAUGAAAUAUUUUAAUAAAAAUAAUUUGGAGUUCUAGAUAUUGAUGAUUUUUAUAGAAACUUGGUCAAUCUGAAGAAGUUUGACUUAGGUUAAAGGUAGGACUUCUUAUAUUCAGGAAUGAAGGUAGCACCUUAUUAUUCUAUUUUUUUUCCAUCCCGUUAUCGGAUUUGAAAAAUCAACACAAUUUUCCCCCCAUCUGUACUGUAUUUAACAUAUUGUGUUUUUUGCGUUGAUACUGACAUAUCAAGAAGCCAUACGUAUUACACCAAUCCAACAGAUGUAGCCAAUGACUAAUCAGGAAUUACGUUGCAUGCAGCC
This 2150-nucleotide long non-coding RNA is filed under the name Brachypodium distachyon (stiff brome). RNAcentral describes it as "long non-coding RNA (BDIS_LNC002324)". Lineage: Eukaryota; Viridiplantae; Streptophyta; Magnoliopsida; Poales; Poaceae. The record is from RNAcentral.